GUGCCCUGCCGUGCCGUGCCGUGUGCGGGGCCGGCCCGUCCGGACACCCCUCUGAGCAGCCAGUGCCUCCAUGCUGCCCAGCUGGGGCUUGCAAUGGUUUAUCUCUCGUCAAGCGCUCUGCAUCAUGUUCCGUUCCAUGCCGUCACCCUUUCUUUCAGGACACAAAACCUUUCAAUGACCUAUGGCGAUUGUCUUGUAUGAGGGAAUGGAGAGACAUGUCCUCCACACUGAAUGCACCAAUUUAAAAGCAAAACAAUAAAUAUGUCAAAGUGCA
Vidua macroura (Pin-tailed whydah) is the source of this 274-nucleotide long non-coding RNA. RefSeq lists it as uncharacterized. Lineage: Eukaryota; Metazoa; Chordata; Aves; Passeriformes; Viduidae. The record is from RefSeq and is a predicted model, not a curated record. The transcript has 2 exons.